Molecule: ribosomal RNA, 384 nt
Filed under: uncultured bacterium
Lineage: Bacteria
Description: bacterial SSU rRNA
Rfam family: Bacterial small subunit ribosomal RNA
Source: RNAcentral
AUUGAACGCUGGCGGCAUGCCUUACACAUGCAAGUCGAACGGCAGCACGGGAGCAAUCCUGGUGGCGAGUGGCGAACGGGUGAGUAAUAUAUCGGAACGUGCCCAGUCGUGGGGAUAACGUAGCGAAAGCUACGCUAAUACCGCAUACGAUCUAUGGAUGAAAGCGGGGGAUCGCAAGACCUCGCGCGAUUGGAGCGGCCGAUAUCAGAUUAGGUAGUUGGUGAGGUAAAGGCUCACCAAGCCGACGAUCUGUAGCUGGUCUGAGAGGACGACCAGCCACACUGGGACUGAGACACGGCCCAGACUCCUACGGGAGGCGAGCAGUGGGGGAAUUUUUGGACAAUGGGCGCAAGCCUGAUCCAGCAAUGCCGCGUGCAGGAUGAA